Non-coding RNA from Arthromyces matolae, 95 nucleotides. The record is from the annotation of a GenBank genome assembly. Lineage: Eukaryota; Fungi; Basidiomycota; Agaricomycetes; Agaricales; Lyophyllaceae.
AGCAGUAGGGCGCAGUGGUAGCGCGCGGGGCCCAUAUGUCGUCUCACAGUAGUGUGUCCCCCCCGAGGUCACUUGAUCGAAACAAGUUGCUGCCA